Long non-coding RNA from Elaeis guineensis (African oil palm), 1595 nucleotides. RefSeq lists it as uncharacterized. The record is from RefSeq and is a predicted model, not a curated record. NCBI's taxonomy places the organism in Eukaryota, Viridiplantae, Streptophyta, Magnoliopsida, Arecales, Arecaceae.
CUUCACUUUGCUGUCCACACAGCCUAAAUUCUCUACUCGUCUCAUGGAAGCCCCCUCCCCAUGGAGGACUCAUGGUAAACUUUGAUGGAGCUGUCCGAGAGCAUAAUGCUGCAGCAGGCUUUGUUGUCCGAGAUCAUUUAGGGACAUCCAGACUUGGUGCGCAUUCUGGCAGCUGAUGCCUACUCUGUGGCCUAUUCUAGACAUGGGAAGUGCUAUGUUUAGAUCUUUCUAUAUAAUUAUUCGAGCCCUUACAGGUUGGUUAGUCAGUGAAUUAUUGAGGCAUGCCAACCCACUUUGUCCUGUUGUUGUGGUAGGGUAUGUGGCCCAUGGUUUCAUGGCACGCACCCUUUACUAUCAUACUGAUUAACUCCCAUGCCCCAUUAUGCUUUGAUGGAUAUGCAAUGGCCGACAUUGGCCAAAUAUUCUCUUCUAAUGUCAGUUCUUGACCCAUGUACAUUUAAGCCUGUGGUUGGAUAUCAUUUCUAUAUUUCCAUGCAGAAAGGACCGUGUGUGCAGGAUUUGUAUGGACGCCUCUGUUGGGAUCCAGCCGCUUGGUGGAUAUUUUCCUUGGCGUUGGAAUCUGAAUUGGCUGAUGAUGAAUAAUCUUUCUGAAACUAUAUGCUGCUUCCAGAUUUAAUGUUAUAUUCAAUCCCAGAUCGGUCACAACAGGACAUCUCUAUUGUCUAGCAACAGCAACAAUUGAUGCGGCGUACUUCGAACCUUUGUGCAGUGGACUUUUUGACUCUCCUGGAGAGCAUGCUCAUCUCUUUUGUCAGCAAUUAGACUGUAGCUAUAGCAUUUUUGACAGGUUCUGUUGUGUAUUAUAUCAUAGCUGUGUCUCUUCCACUUCAUGUGUUUUUAUUAUUGAUCUGAGUCUAUUAGAUAUCCGGGGCUCUGUUUUUGGUUGUUUAUUAUUUUGUACUCUAAGAUGGAUCUUACUUGCUGAGUGAAGUUAUACGGUUGUCAGAAAAAAAAAAAAACCAUGCAGUGGCUUCCCACGCCAAUUUCAUAUCGCAAGUCCUCCAUACUUCCCCCAAUCUGCAUGGGAACGAUGAGAUCGAUGAAGCCCAUCGGGUUUUCCGAAAAUCCCUUCUCCCGACGUCCGUCUCUACACCAUGAUGAUCCCUAGCUACUCCCGAAUCGAUCGCACGAGGCUUUUCGACUUUUCAAUGAGAUUGCGGCCUGCGACGUGGCCUCCUGGAAUUCCAUGCUCAAAAGAUAUUCGACGAAAUGCCCGAGCGAAACGUGAUCUCUUGGAAAAUUAUCAUGAAUGGGCUGGCAAAGGUUGGUCGAAUUGAUGCUGCGGAGGAAUUGUUCUGGGGAAUGUCUCAGAAGGACACCGCUGCAUGGGCCUCUAUGAUAUCAUGGUACUGCAGCAAUGGUAGAAUUGCUCGUUUCGUACUUGAGAAAUUGCCGUGCCCCGAUUGAUUUAUUGGACUGUAUGCCCACUGCAAGCAGAUUGUGAACUCUUGCAAGUUAUUCUAUGAGAAUAGGGACAGGAAUUUGGUCUGUCUUGCAUCAUUAUCAUGCGAAUGAUCAUGAGCAAACUAAGAAAUAUGUGAGCAAGUAAAUAUCUUAUUCUUUGUUUUCUUUGU